AUGGCCGCGACGGCAUGCGCCCACGGCUACGACGGCGGCCUGGUGCCGCCGGCGCCGGCGCAGGCGAUGGGCCCGUUCGACGACGGUGGCCACCACCGUCCCGUCAUCCACGACCACUAUCCCAUCAUCCACGGCCUCGUCAUGCCUCCACCUCCUCCUCCGCCACCGCCGCCGCCUCCUUCUUUCCAUCUCCAUUCGGGCCACGCCAGCUCCAAGGCGGCAGCGUCUCGCCACCCCGGCCUCUGCACCGAGGGCCUCGGCUCGGAGAGCUCCGAGAGCUCGGGCGACCUCGACCUCGGCGACAUCGUGGCCGACGACGACAUUCAAGACUGCAAGCAGGGCGACCAGGAGCUAGGGGCGCUGAUGCCGGCGAGGAAAAGGGUGUUCCCGCCGCCGAUAUCGGUGAUCGGCGCGGCCGGGAAGCCGUGGCAGUACCUGAGGGCGCAGCGCGGGGGCGGCCGGCUGGUGCUGCGGGAGGUGAGGAUACCGUCGCGGGAGCUGCUCCACGCCUGCCGGGAGGACGGCCGCCUCAAGCUCCACUUUGCACACCCGGAGCCGGAGCCGGAGCCGGAGCCAGAGGAAGAAAACAACACCAUCUAG
Molecule: ribosomal RNA, 600 nt
Filed under: Triticum aestivum (bread wheat)
Lineage: Eukaryota; Viridiplantae; Streptophyta; Magnoliopsida; Poales; Poaceae
Description: partial small subunit ribosomal RNA
Source: RNAcentral